RNAcentral lists this ribosomal RNA (508 nucleotides) under uncultured bacterium. RNAcentral's name for it is "partial 16S ribosomal RNA". It matches the Rfam family "Bacterial small subunit ribosomal RNA", at positions 28 to 523 of the family's 1533-position model. The record is from RNAcentral.
GAUGAACGCUAGCUACAGGCUUAACACAUGCAAGUCGAGGGGAAACGACAUCGAAAGCUUGCUUUUGAUGGGCGUCGACCAGCGCACGGGUGAGUAACGCGUAUCCAACCUGCCAACCAAUUGGGGAUAACCUUGCGAAAGUAAGACUAAUACCCAAUGAUAUCUCUAGAAGCCAUCUGAAAGAGAUUAAAGAGUUAACGGUGAUGGAAGGGGAUGCGUCUGAUUAGCUUGUUGGCGGGGUAAGGGCCCACCAAGGCUACGAUCAGUAGGGGUUCUGAGAGGAAGGUCCCCCACAUUGGAACUGAGACACGGUCCAAACUCCUACGGGAGGCAGCAGUGAGGAAUAUUGGUCAAUGGACGAGAGUCUGAACCAGCCAAGUAUCGUGCAGGAUGACGGCCCUAUGGGUUGUAAACUGCUUUUAUAAGGGGAUAAAGUGAGUCUCGUGAGACUUUUUGCAUGUACCUUAUGAAUAAGGACCGGCUAAUUCCGUGCCAGCCGCCGCAGUAA